GAUGAACGCUGGCGGCGUGCUUAACACAUGCAAGUCGAACGAUGAAGCCCAGCUUGCUGGGUGGUUUAGUGGCGAACGGGUGAGUAACACGUGAGUACCCCGCCCUUGACUCUUGGAUAAGCGCUGGAAACGGCGACUAAAACCUGAUACCAGCUUCCACCGCAUGGUGAGUUCCUGGAAAGAAUUUCGGUAACGGAUGGACUCGCGGCCUAUCGGGUAGUUCGUGAGGUAGCGGCACACCAAGUCGACGACGGGUAGCCGGCCCGAGAGGGUGAACAGCGACCCUGGGACUGAGAGACGGAGCAGACGCGUACGGGAGGCAGCGGUGGCAAAUCUUGUCCAGUGGGAGCAAGCCUGAUACAGCAGCGCCGCGUGUGGGAAGAAGGCCUUCGGGGCGUAAACCUCUUUUGGCAGGGAAGCAGCGGAAGUGACGGUACCUGCAGAAAAAGCACCGGCUAACUACGUG
Molecule: ribosomal RNA, 466 nt
Filed under: uncultured bacterium
Lineage: Bacteria
Description: partial 16S ribosomal RNA
Rfam family: Bacterial small subunit ribosomal RNA
Source: RNAcentral